Cygnus atratus (black swan) is the source of this 239-nucleotide long non-coding RNA. RefSeq lists it as uncharacterized. The record is from RefSeq and is a predicted model, not a curated record. NCBI's taxonomy places the organism in Eukaryota, Metazoa, Chordata, Aves, Anseriformes, Anatidae. The transcript has 3 exons.
AGCAGCAAUAAAGUGUGUGCCUUUCCUCCAGGUUUCAGCUCUGGGAACUAUUUUGACAGUUGGAUCCACGGAAAAUCAGGUCUGCUUCAAUCGUCGAGUUUGAAAAACAACAACAACAACAAAAAACAUGCCUACAAACUUGCCUUGAAACGGAGUGAAUGUGUGGUCCUUAAAAUGGUUUAAAACUUAUUUGCAUAAGUAACUUCAGAAAAAAACAACAUGGGGAAGUUCCAGAAUUA